GGUUAAGCGACUAAGCGUACACGGUGGAUGCCCUGGCAGUCAGAGGCGAUGAAGGACGUGCUAAUCUGCGAUAAGCGUCGGUAAGGUGAUAUGAACCGUUAUAACCGGCGAUUUCCGAAUGGGG
Molecule: ribosomal RNA, 124 nt
Filed under: Escherichia coli
Lineage: Bacteria; Pseudomonadati; Pseudomonadota; Gammaproteobacteria; Enterobacterales; Enterobacteriaceae
Also listed under: 2 other names
Description: partial 23S ribosomal RNA
Rfam family: Bacterial large subunit ribosomal RNA
Source: RNAcentral